This 1158-nucleotide ribosomal RNA is filed under the name uncultured bacterium. RNAcentral describes it as "bacterial SSU rRNA". It matches the Rfam family "Bacterial small subunit ribosomal RNA", at positions 8 to 1172 of the family's 1533-position model. The record is from RNAcentral.
GAGAGUUUGAUCCUGGCUCAGGACGAACGCUGGCGGCGCGCCUAACACAUGCAAGUCGAACGGAGUUUGUUGGAUUGAUCCUUCGGGUGAUUGAUAGCAAACUUAGUGGCGGACGGGUGAGUAACACGUGAGCAACCUGCCUUACAGAGGGGGAUAACGUUCUGAAAAGAACGCUAAUACCGCAUAACAUAUUGAGUGGGCAUCCACUUGAUAUCAAAGGAGCAAUCCGCUGUAAGAUGGGCUCGCGUCCGAUUAGCCAGUUGGCGGGGUAACGGCCCACCAAAGCGACGAUCGGUAGCCGGACUGAGAGGUUGAACGGCCACAUUGGGACUGAGACACGGCCCAGACUCCUACGGGAGGCAGCAGUGGGGGAUAUUGCACAAUGGGGGAAACCCUGAUGCAGCGACGCCGCGUGAGGGAAGAAGGUUUUCGGAUUGUAAACCUCUGUCUUCGGUGACGAAACAAGACGGUAGCCGAGGAGGAAGCCACGGCUAACUACGUGCCAGCAGCCGCGGUAAUACGUAGGUGGCAAGCGUUGUCCGGAAUUACUGGGUGUAAAGGGAGCGUAGGCGGGAGUGCAAGUUGAAUGUGAAAACGAUGGGCUCAACCCAUCGUUGCGUUCAAAACUGCAUUUCUUGAGUGAAGUAGAGGUAAGCGGAAUUCCUAGUGUAGCGGUGAAAUGCGUAAAUAUUAGGAGGAACACCAGUGGCGAAGGCGGCUUACUGGGCUUUAACUGACGCUGAGGCUCGAAAGCGUGGGUAGCAAACAGGAUUAGAUACCCUGGUAGUCCACGCUGUAAACGAUGAUUACUAGGUGUGGGGGGACUGACCCCUUCCGUGCCGGAGUUAACACAAUAAGUAAUCCACCUGGGGAGUACGACCGCAAGGUUGAAACUCAAAGGAAUUGACGGGGGCCCGCACAAGCAGUGGAGUAUGUGGUUUAAUUCGAAGCAACGCGAAGAACCUUACCAGGUCUUGACAUCGGAUGCAUACCUAAGAGAUUAGGGAAGCCCUUCGGGGCAUCCAGACAGGUGGUGCAUGGUUGUCGUCAGCUCGUGUCGUGAGAUGUUGGGUUAAGUCCCGCAACGAGCGCAACCCUUAUGUUUAGUUGCUACGCAAGAGCACUCUAGACAGACUGCCGUUGACAAAACGGAGGAAG